Molecule: ribosomal RNA, 497 nt
Filed under: uncultured bacterium
Lineage: Bacteria
Description: partial 16S ribosomal RNA
Rfam family: Bacterial small subunit ribosomal RNA
Source: RNAcentral
GAUGAACGCUGGCGGCGUGCCUAAUACAUGCAAGUCGAGCGAACGGACGAGAAGCUUGUUUCUCUGAUGUUAGCGGCGGACGGGUGAGUAACACGUGGAUAACCUACCUAUAAGACUGGGAUAACUUCGGGAAACCGGUGCUAAUACCGGAUGAUAUUUUGAACCGCAUGGUUCAAGAGUGAAAGAUGGUCUUGCUGUCACCUAUAGAUGGAUCCGCGCUGCAUUAGCUAGUUGGUAAGGUAACGGCUUACCAAGGCAACGAGGCAUAGCCGACCUGAGAGGGGGAUCGGCCACACGGGAACGGAGACACGGUCCAGACUCCUACGGGAGGCAGCAGUAGGGAAGCUUCCGCAAUGGGGGAAAGCCGGACGGAGCAACGCCGCGUGAGGGAUGAAGGUCUUCGGAUCGUAAAACUCUGUUAUUAGGGAAGAACAUAUGUGUAAGUAACAGUGCACAUCGUGACGGUACCUAAUCAGAAAGCCACGGCUAACUACGUG